CCGCCGAAGCUCCUCUCUCCAUCGUCAUCGACGUUGGAAUUUAACUCCUAACAACAUAGUGCUGCCCAACCGCGCGUAAGGGUAGAAGUGAGACGGAGGGGAAGGUGUACCGAAAGAACCAAAGAAGAUGAAUUGUUAUUUUGUUAUAUUUUUUCGCCACCCGCCGAUGGGGCAAAGCUUGUAUCUUCAGCAGCCACGGCAACCAAUGAACAUUCCCACUGGACGGCCAGCAGACGGCGGUCUCACACCAUGCUGGGUCGUCACACAUUGAGCAACAACAUCAACAACAUCAUCAUUACCACGUCGUCGUCGUCGUUACAUCACCACGACCACCACCAUCGGAGUAGCGUCGCUGCUUCCUGGCACGUUGGAAUCGUUUAGAAUCAACGUGUGCCUGUCAUUAUUCUUACUCUCACGAGGGUUCAUUAAUGAAUAACUAUCGCCGUCAUCAUCAUCAUCAUCAUAAUUUUCGCAAGGGAAUAUGACUUCAGAAGAACGUAAAGGGCUGUAGAAUUGCGAGGAGACGGUGGAGUGACUUUGGAGACGAAGACAUUGCCCGGAAAUUGAAUGGAUCCUUGAAGCUUUCUGUGGAUUUAUAUUCUUCCUACAGUCAUCGGCUGACCGACAGCAGACAGACCUCGACAUUAACAACAGCAGCAGCACAAUCUGGUUUUAGCUGGCUUCUUCUGCUGCUGCUGUUCGUACAGCCACAGAUGCUGUUCUUGGGUGCAUGGUUGGCCACAGAGGGAAAUUAUCAGGAAGAGAGAAGCAACAAACAAGGGUAUAUAAGUCUAGAAUUGUCAUCCUGCCCCCCCCUUCUCUCUCUCUCACUGCCCCUGCUGCUGCCGGUAUGGCGUGUUGAGCGAGGCCGUCAUCCAGCAGUGGAUCGACCCACGUGUGUAGACUCUCACAGUGUGAAGACGACACGGUGCAGCUUCUACAAGGCUGCACAAGUGUAACGGAGCAUCACAUACAGACGGAGAGGAUAGAGGUGUGAAGCUUCAUAGGCUGUUGCGAGCGUGGUACUACAGAGGGGGGGGGGGGGCAUCGUCGUUUACAGACGCUGGAGAUGUGCAGGCUCCACGGGUGGUGGUAACAUCAGGCCGACAGUAACAGAGUUGAUACUGUAGACUGUCUCUAGUCUACAUUGACAACACCACGGGUGGUGGUAACAUCAGGCCGACAGUAACAGAGUUGAUACUAUAGACUGUCUCUAGUCUACAUUGACAACACCACGGGUGGUGGUAACAUCAGGCCGACAGUGAUAGAGUUGAUACUGUAGACUGUCUCUAGUCUACAUUGACAACACCACGGGUGGUGGUAACAUCAGGCCGACAGUGAUAGAGUGGAUACUGUAGACUGUCUCUAGUCUACAUUGACAACACCACGGGUGGUGGUAACAUCAGGCCGACAGUGAUAGAGUUGAUACUGUAGACUGUCUCUAGUCUACAUUGACAACACCACGGGUGGUGGUAACAUCAGGCCGACAGUGAUAGAGUUGAUACUGUAGACUGUCUCUAGUCUGCAUUGACAACACCACGGGUGGUGG
Non-coding RNA from Petromyzon marinus (sea lamprey), 1549 nucleotides. The record is from RefSeq and is a predicted model, not a curated record. Lineage: Eukaryota; Metazoa; Chordata; Hyperoartia; Petromyzontiformes; Petromyzontidae.